UCCAUGGAUGAACAACUCAGAAUUUGG
This 27-nucleotide non-coding RNA is filed under the name Homo sapiens (human). Lineage: Eukaryota; Metazoa; Chordata; Mammalia; Primates; Hominidae. The record is from RNAcentral.